Molecule: long non-coding RNA, 41570 nt
Filed under: Citrus x clementina
Lineage: Eukaryota; Viridiplantae; Streptophyta; Magnoliopsida; Sapindales; Rutaceae
Description: Citrus clementina (C. clementina) long non-coding RNA (CCLE_LNC004352)
Source: RNAcentral
GUCACCCAUCAUUGUUCAGUACAUUGAUGAAGUGUGGAAGGACAAGGCUCCAUUGCUUCCCUCUGAUCCCUACCAGAGAGCUCAAGCUAGGUUCUGGGUAGAUUUCAUUGACAAGAAGGUAACUUUGUUGUUGAUUUUCUGAAGUAUGUUUAUGGGUAUUUUUUCAAUUUUAGAUUUAAUUGUAAUUUUAUUAAAAUAGAAGCCGAAAUUUUGUUAUUAAAAUAUUUCAUUGUCGAGUAGAUGUCAUGGAUUUGUUGUUUGACUACAAAUAAACAGGGAUUGCAUUGAACGGAGGGGGAAAAGAUGUCCCCUACAGAGUUGAAGAUUUUGGUUGUUGCAGGACUAUGAUGCAGAUAUUAUAAACUUUAGUAGGUUGCAGCAAAAAAUCAGUAAAUCUGAGAGGCCAACGAUGAGGAUCAUAGUGAGAAUACUAUAAACUAGAGUAGGCUGAAUAUUUGCAGUUAAAAGUCUAGUUUCAGUAGUAAGGGUAGUAAGUAGUGGCCUUCUUAAUGUUUAGCUCUUGGUUUGAGCUUUAGUGGGUGUGAUUUUACAAAUAUAUAUAUAUAUAUAUAUAUAUAUAUUUUUAAGGAAUAGCUGGAUGUCUGUGGGAUCUAUAUUUUUGAGAUGGUAAAAUCUAGUCUUGAAAAUCUUAAGAUAUGCUUAGAAGUUAGUAAAAUUUCAAUUCAGUCCUUUAUUUUUCUGGAUGUUUCUUGGCCUCUACAUAGUUUUGCAGCUAAGUGUAAGACUGUAACCUACCUGUUGCUGAUUUUGUUGUCUUGAAAUGGAUACUGAACCUGAAUGUGUUAAAUUUUAUCCAUUUUCGGACAGAUUUUCUGAUACAAUAUUGAAAGUAAAUUGCAGAUGUACGAUUCUUCGAGGAAGACAUGGACCACAAAGGGAGAAGAGCAGGAGGCAGCUAAGAAGGAGUUCUUUGAAGUUCUGAAGACUUUGGAAGGGCAGCUUGGAGACAAGCCUUUCUUUGGAGGAGACAAUUUUGGGUAUGUGGAUUUAAGUUUGAUCCCAUUCUAUUGUUGGUUUUACACGUAUGAGACAUGUGGAAAGUUCAGCGUCGAGGCUGAGUGCCCCAAGUUCAUAGCUUGGGUGAAGAGAUGCUUGCAGAGGGAGACUGUUGCCAAGGCACUUCCUGAUGGGAAGAAAGUGUUUGAAUUUGUUUCAGUGAUGAGGACAAAUUUAGGAUUGGAGUAGAGAGAAAAAGGGACAUACCUAGGAGCUGAGAAUAAGUCAAGCAGCGCAAUCGUGCUGCCUGCUUAUUCUUUAGGUGGUUGAUGUUGGUUUGGCUUGUGAUGGUUGUUUUCCUAUUGUGUUUUUGUAUUCGGAUUGUUGUAUUUCCCUAGUAAAAAUAAGCUCCAAUAAUCCAAUAAAGGACAAUUAAUUUUGUCCCCUACUGUUGUUAUCUUAGUGUAUGGUAAUCACGAAGAGUGUGUUUAGUAUAUUGAAUUGUGUAUUUUUAUUGUAUUAUUUUAAUAUAUGUGUAUUAUAUUAUGUUGUAUUAUAAUAAUAUUGUAUAAUAUUUGGUGUUGCAUUGUAGGAUCCACCUAUGUUACAACAGUGGUACUAUACCACAAUUUUUGUCCUCAUUUAAUAUAGCCAUUGGAUUUAAAGCAACCAAUCGAAUGGAGAAGAGAUGGCCAUGUUUGUGUUGUAUAAGACCGGAGAAAUCGAUUAAGAAAAAGUAAAUUUGGAUGUGAUGAAAUACGGUGACUCACCUCUCUCCGAACGCAAGAUUACUGUUAUCAAGAAGGAAAUUUGAGGAAUUUAUGAAGUCCAGGUGAAAAUCAAAGGAAGCCCCUGCCAAAGGCCAAAUGGAUAAAGGGACAAUCUUAUGCACCGUUUUCUUUUCUAACGCUCCUCUUUCUCUAUAUCCAUAAAUCCUGACCAAAUUUGCUCUCUCAUCAAACAUCAAAAGAUAUCUCAAAUCAUUUCAUGGUGGAGUUCUUUAAUUUGUUCAUUGCUCUAUAGUCUUGUGCAGCUUUAAUAUAUCUCAUGCUGCAAUUUAAUUUGUUAUUUUAUUCUGAAAAUCAAAUUGAAUAAUUGUUGCAGUCACGUAUAUAUGCUGGGUUUCUUCACAUCUUCCUCGUUGGCUUGAAGUUUUGUUCACUGAAAAGUUCUUCCACGCUUGCAUAAUCCACGAAGACGAAAGAAAAAAUGAAAAUGACUUAUAUUGCUUGGACAAUUGCACUAGCUUAUGCCCUCAUUGUUUGUCCUUUCAUGCCUCUCAUUGUUUCUCGAUUUCCUUAUGCAAGGCCAAUCUUCAUUUAUUCUGCAAGAAUUUUAUUGCAUCUUCCUCCUUCAAUCCAAUGCUCGUUGCAAUUAAAUUAACCAACGACUCCUCGUUACCAAUCUCACUUCUCUGAUUUCAUGUGUGCCUAAAAAUUCAGCACCGACUUCCGAUUGCCCUUUGCCUUGUUGAUUAUAAGUUCGUCGUCGAUUGCCUACAAGACACACGCCAUAUUCACAUUACGAGUCAUCAUAAAUUUUUAAUUGCGACAAACAUAACUAAACCCUAAUUCCAAUUUUUUGUCUUAUUUUGCUGUCUCCAUAUCGAUUUGAGAUGAAAUCAGUUCCAUUGAUGCAGUACAACAAACUUUCUCACCACAAGCUCGCAAAUGAUAUUACAUUACAUUAAAACGCAACCGGCUCCAACGGUUGCAGGUUGCCGCAUCAAUUAUCUAAUAAUUAAUUUCAGCCAUUAAAUUGACCAGUAAAACAUCCAACGACUCAACUGAAUAAAGAUAAAAACUGUGGUAUGAUACCACUGUUGUAACGUAGGUGGAUCCUGCACUGUAUUAUAUUAUAUUUUAUGAUAUAUUAUAUUGUAUUAAUUUUUAUGAUUAAUUUAAAUUAUAUAUUUAAAAAAUAGUAAUUAUUAGUACUUAAAAAAAAUUAUAAAAAUAGAGGUCUUAAAUUGUAACAAUUUGUUUUAGUGUAAAUGUUAAAUUUUAUUGAGAAAUGAUGACAACAAUUGUCUUUUUUUAAACAAAUUUGUAAACUCAAAUUUAGUUAUCAACAAGGGUUGUACAACCAUUGUCUUUUUAUAAACAAAAUUCUAAACACUUGUUUUUUUAUAAACAAAAUUCUUAAAAAAAUAAUUAUCAAUAAUGGUUCGUAUAGCAUAAUAAACUAAAAAUUUUGUGAAGGCAUUCAAUCUCAUCUCAAACAAAUUUCAUCCAUCAUUGUCGUCUUCAACCAAUCUGAAAAAUCAAACCCCCUGAAUCAAACAUACAAAGGAACUAAGGGAGGCAGCGGCUGCGCCUAUUAGUGGUUAUAUGAAGAUGGUGAAGAAAUGGAGAAGAUGACAAACAAGAACCUUAGAAAAAGAAGGAACAGAGAAGACGAAAAAGAAGAGGGGAAAAGGAAAAAAUAAAAAUAAAAGAAAAAUGAGAGAGAGAAACACAUAAGACGAAGAAUAAGAGGGGGAAAGGGAAAAAAAUAAAAGAAAAAAGAGAGAGAGUGAGAAUCAGAGAAAACGAAGCAGAAGAGGGCAAAAGGAAAAAAAUAAAAGAAAAAAGAGAGAAAAACAGAGAAGAUGAAGAAUAAGAGGGGAAAAGGAAAAUAAAAAAUAAAAGUAAAAAGAAAGAGAGAGAAAUAGAGAAGAUGAAGAAGAAGAAGCUAAUGCGGUAAAAACCCGAGUCUCACUCGGGUUUCGUUAUGCGGGGUUUCCUACAUUAAUUUUUUUUCUUAAUGCAAUAACGAAGAAGUGCCAAACAUUGUAUUGUGAUGGACCAAUCUACGUUACAGAAUGUGUAACGUACACACCCAAUGGGAAAUAGCACACGUGUUCUGAGGAGAGAGAAAAACUGUGCAAAUGCAGGCAAUAGGAGUUGGCUACAGUUGGAUCUGUAAGUUACAGCAUCUGUAACUUAGCCAGCUCCGUAUUGUGAUAAUUUAAUGCAAUGCAGAGCCCUGAUACAGCAUAAUGCAGCCUGCCAAACAUGGCCGAAGUUUACAACGUUGAUAGGGUUCAGUUACUAUUCAACCGUGAUUUGAUAUUUAUUUUAUGUCUUUUUGUGAUUUAAUCAUUAGAUUCAAUUAAGAGUUGUAAAAAUUAUUCCAACAGUAAGAAUUUAAUCACUUAAUUAUUAACGUUGCAGUUCCUCAUUUUUUUUUGAAAAUUAUAAGGAAAUAUUAGUUUUUAAAAUUUGUACACAUAAGUCUAUUAAAAUAUUUUAUUAUCUUUAUAUGGAUUAAGGGUAAUUUAGUUGUUUUCCUAUUGUGUGUUUGUAUUUUGAUUUUUUGUAUUUCCCUUGUAAAAUAAGCUGCAAUAAAGGACAAUUAAUUUUGUCGCAUACUGUUGUUAUCUUGGGGUAUCGUAAUCACAAAGUUCACAACGUUGAUAAUGGUUAUCUAAAAUGUUAUCACGUAUAGAAUUUGAUUGGAUAUUGGAUAAAAUUAUUUGGAUAGUUCAUAUAAUUAUUUUAAUUAGCGGUUAUUAUUUUUCAGCCAAACCUUUUUAUCAAAUUAUUUUCUGCAAAUUUAUUUCUACGAAGUUUUCUUUGGCUAAUCUAACUAUCUAAGGGGGUUGAUGUUGUUUGGCUUACUUGUGUUCGUAUGAUGUGACUAUUUGUAUUGGGUUGGGUAUCUCUUCCUUGAAGAUGCUUUUGUCAUUUUCCCUUCUAAAUAAACUACAGUAAAGGACAAUGGAUUUUGUCCAAUGUCCUUACCAUCGCAUCCUGUUUUUCUUGAUUCUUUCGUGUUUGGUGAGCGGAAAGUUAUUGACCCAAGAAAAAGAGCAAGAAUCCCAUGAAAAGUUCGGAAAUAUUAAGAAUUUUGGAGAAUAAAAGAUAUUUUGGUUCAAGUAUGUUAAUAAAUCAGUGUAUUCGUUCUCUCUUUUUAGUUGUCUCUCUCUUUUUUCCCUUUAUGUAAUCGUCCAGUGUCCCCGAUAUUAAAUUGUAUUUAUUGUUUUUAUAUUUGUGGAAGACACAUUUACUCUGUAAUAAUGUGGAAUGAGAAGGCAAGUCCUAGCAAAAGGUUGGGAUUCAAAACCUUUAAAUAAAAUUUGCGUGAAAAUAGGCUUGAUAUUAAAUUAUAAGUUUUUUUUUUUGUUGGACGUUAUCAUUUUAUUACUUAAUUUUUUUCUAAAUUAUUCUGAACCCAAUUUUUUUUAUAAUUAUUUUUUGAUAUCUAAUGUUUUAGUUUUUAUUAUUUUACAACUAAAUCAUUAACGCAUUAAGAAAUUACUGAUGUCAUAAGAAUAUUUUAAGAAAUUUGUUCAAGCAUUCAAGGUUCUUUAUUUUGGGGGCAAGCAUAAUACAUGUGCUACCUCACUUGGAAGGGGGGCGGGGGAAGGCGAGGUGGAAGGAAAAUUACCAACUUGACCCUUAGCCCUAUGUUAUUUUUAGUUAUUUGCGAAAAUUCUCUUUUUGGAGGAGAAUGAUGGAUUGUUAGAGUGGAUGAUUUGGAAGAUAUUUUUGGAGGUCAGGUAUGGUUAGUUUUCAUUUGUAUAUUUGUUGGAAUCUCGCAUAUUUUAACCAAGCUUUUUGCAUGGGCUCACCAUGCACUUGUAGGGUCUAGGGAGGCUAACAUGUCUUAUAGUUUAGGUGUUUUAUUUGUUUUUGAUUUCAUUGUUUGUUGUUUUGUCUGGUUUAAUAAUACCACUUAUCCUAGUGAGUUUUAUAGUCCCAUUGGGCCAUAAGCUUCUCAAGCUCAAGCUCAAGCAUUUACUUUUCUGGUUAGAGACCAACGUCUUGGGGCUAAUGUGGAAUCCUUGAGUCAAAAGUAUUAUAAUAUUUAUAUUUAAAAUAAUCAAUUUAUAAAAGUGAUAUUUCUUUGUAUUUGAUUAAUAUUUUAUUUUUUAAAUUCAGCGGUCAAAUUGUACUUGCACAUUUUAGGGAAAAUAAACUUUUACUGUAACUUUUAGGGAAAAGGAUAUGUACACUCUUCAAAUUUAGAAAAAUGGUCAUUACACCCCCAAGUCUUGAAAAGAGGGCACCAAAACUCUCUUUUAACUAUAAUAUCUUUUAUCUUUAUUAUCACGAAAAAAUGAACUCUAAUGUAUUAUAAUAACAUUAAACUAAAUGUGAUAAUAAAAUAUUUAAAUAUUUUAAAAUAAUUUCAAUAUUUAUGAAUAUUUUAAUAUUUUACAAUCUAAUAGAUAUAUUUUAUUAUAUAAAAGUAAAUUUUAAUCUAAAUAGAACCAUAAUAAUAGAAUAAAUGUACUAAAAUUGAAAUUAUUUUAAUAUUAAGUAGAAUAAUAAUUUUAACAUUAUUAGUAUGUGACUUUCUUUUUAAUUCCAAAAUGUAGUUAAUGCAAAUGUUUAUUUAAAAUCUUACAAUAAUAGAAAUAUAUUAUUAAAAUAAAUAUAAUAAUUUAUGUAUUUAAAUUUAUUAAAAUAUUUUGAUACUGUUAGUCUACCGCAUAGAUUACAUUAUUUAUAUAAUAUUUAUAUUUAUAAAAAAAUUAAAGUUAAUUUUUUGGAUAAUAAAGAUAAAGUGUAUAAUGGUUAAAUGGGGAUCUUAGUAUCACUUUUUAAAAAUUUGGGGUUUUGUUGACCAUGUCCUCAAAUCGUGAGAGUAUCAAUGUUUUUUUCCCUAAUUUCUAUUAAAAUCCUGCUAUGUUUUAUGGAUUGAUGGUAAAAUGAAAGAAAUUAAAAUUUUAAGUUAAGAAAAGUAUUUGGCAACAAAUUUUAGUGAUAAAGUGAUAUAUUAGGAAAAAUUAUGUGCUAAAAUUUAUUUUGUUGAGGAAAAAAAUUAGAUUUGAGUAGAGGAAAGGGGUAUAGCUAGAAGAUGAGAAAAGUCAAAGCAGCACAAUCGUGCUGCCUGCUAUUCUCUGGUGGUUGAUGACAAUGAAUUUUGUCUAUUACUAUUUUGUUUUUCUCUUCGGAAUAUUCUGUGGAGUCAAUCUAACACGCUUUAUGAGUUAAAAUCAUUUCUCUUGUAUUAUUUUUUGUUCAGUUGUGAAGUCUCAUGACUAAUUUACCCUUCCGCAUGGAUUACCAUUAAUAUGUUAAAAUAAAAAAGGGCAUGAAGACUUUUGCAAAAUUAUGACGACUUUUUUGGAUGCAAGACUUUUUUUUUUUUGGAUGAAAUUAAAGAGUUUUUCAAAUCAGUGGCCGAAAUUGUUGAAAUGCAAUUAAAGGGUUAGGUGUAAUAGUACAAGUUUGAAGGCAUCAUCUUAAAAUUUGAUAUAAAUAAUUCAAGUGAAGAAUUGCUAAGGGUGAGCAAUUGAAAGGUUUUUUUUUUUUAACCAUGUAUGAGAGUAUUGGGUGUAUUUAAAUUUUAAGAAAAGAAAUUUCUUUACUUAAAUAUUGUACUUAAAUAAUUAUUAGUAAUACAAUUAUUAUCCCUUACUCCCAUAGAUAUAGGCAUAAUUGCCGAAUCACUUUAAAUUCUUGUGUUCUUUAUUUUUCUGUGAUUAUUUGGUGCAUUUGAUUCCGCAUUUCACGCACAACAAAUGGUAUCAGAGCCGACAGUUUGUAGUUGGUGUAGGUAGUAUUGUUCACGUAUACGGUACUAUUUAUGUACACAAUAUUAUUCAUAUAUAUGGUAUUGUUCUCGAAUAUGGUGGAGCCAAUAGAUUGUACUUGGGAGGAUUAAUAGCUUGUGAUGUAGGAAGUUAAUUUAGGUUAAUUUAGGAAUUUUAAGAUUGUAGAAUUUUAUUAUUUUAGGAAUUUUUAUUUUAAUUAGAGUCAAUUAUGGUAUUUUAUUAUUUUAGGACUUUUUGUUUUUAUUAGAGACAAUUAAGGUAUGAGAUUUAGUUAACUUAGGAAAAGUAUAUUUUAUUUUCAUUAUAAUUAUGAUUAUUUUCUCUUUUUAAGUUAACUUAGGGAAGCGGAUUUACUCUAUAAUAAAUAGAGAGGUCUUGUUAUUAUUUUCAGAACUUUAGAAAUUAUCUAUUUUAUAAAAAAAAUAGAUAUAAAAAAAGCGGGUUUACUCUAUUAAAAAAAAAACCCUAUUUUAUAAUUCCCUCUGAAAUUAUCUAUCAAAAUCUCUCUCGUAAAGUCAUUUGGAUUAGAGCGUCAUCUAAUCUCGCAUUAUGCGUUAUUAAAAAUCUCAUUGAAUCGUCUAGAUUAGAAUGAUAUCUAAUCACACUUCGAUUAGAGUGUAAGCUAAUCAGGUUGGCUUGGUCCAGUGCUAGAACGAUAUCUAGUUUUCCUAUCCUAUCAAUUUCUGCUUCUGCUAUGCCGCUCCAUCAAUUGGUAUGAGAGUGGUUCUGUGUGAAUCGUACAGCUUUCCUGGAUACCCACAUCUCUUCCGACCAAAUCCAUCACCAAAAAAAGAAAAAAAAUCAAAACUUUACAAGUUUUGAAAACCCUAGCCGCCACUUUAAUUUGGUUUUCUAGCCAAUCUACCUUUAUUCUAGGGAUGACAAAAUAACCCGAACUCGGAUGAACCCGGAUAAUCCAAGCUGGGUUGAACCCGUAUCGGAAUGUAAAAAAAUUCGAGUCUGGAAUAGAUUUUAAUAACCCGGAUGGAUCCGGGUCCGGUUCCGGGUUUGAGAUAACCCGUACAUCCGAAACCCGGACCCGAAUAUUCUUAUUUUAGCAUAAUAUUUAAAUUAUUUUUUAAUAUAAAAAGGGGGAAAAUAUUGAUGCCCUAAUCAUCCUUUUCGUCCUCUUUCUUUUCUCUUCUCUUCAUUUCACACUUUCACAGUCGCCUCUCUUCACCUUUUUCUUUUCUCUUAAUCAAAUCAUCAUUUUCGUUCCCAUUCACUUCUUCUCUUCAUCAAAUCAUCAUUUUUCUCUUCAGUUCUUCUUUUCAUCAAAUCAUCGUCGUCACUCCUUAUCGCUUCGCUUUGCUGUGUUCGCAUUCAUCAUCAUCACCAGCCUUCAUUUGGCCGUCGUUUGUCCAUUGUGAUCUCGGUUUUAGCUGCCGUUCAUCCACCUUUUGCGAAUUGCGCUCAUAGCUAUGACGUGUUCAUCAUCAUCAUAUCAUCAGCCACCAAUGUUCAUUACUUCGCCGGCCACUGAUUGUUGAAGUUUGUGAACCAAAUCCGUGAAUCGCGAUUUUGAGUUGUAGACAUGGAUUUAUAUUUUGUAAGUGUCAUGUCAUGGAUCUGUAUUUGCAUGUGAUCCGGGUUGAAAACCCGCAAUCGGGAAACCCGAAAUAAUCUGGGUUUAACCUGUUCCGGACCCAGUGUCACAAAAAUCAGAUUUAAAUCCAGGUCCGGUAUAGCAUUUUAGUAUCCGGGUCCGGAACCGGGAAGGCCAAACCCGGACCCGGACUCGGAUUUUGCCAUCCCUACUUUAUUCCUCAAAGACUGAUCACAGAUAAUAUCAUCAUUGGCUAUGAGUGCCUCCAUAAGAUUAGAUGCAAAAAAUAUGGAAAAUAGGGGUUGGUUGCUAUAAAACUUGACAUCAGCAAAGCUUAUGAUAGGAUUGAAUGGUGUUUUGUAGAAGGCAUUAUGCGUAAGCUAGGCUUUUCAAAUCGAUGGGUGAGUUUCACAAUUAAAUGCAUCAUGUCAUCUACAUUCUCCUUCCUGCUUAAUGGCAAAGUUUGAGGUCUCGUCAAUCCCCAGAAAGGGUUGCAAUAAGGAUGUCAUUUUUCCCUUUAUCUAUUUAUUCUAUAUGCAGAAUCUUUAUCUUUUUUAUUGGUCCAUGACGAAAAUCAUAAAUUCAUUCAUGGCAUUAAGUUUGGUGUCUAGGGCCCUACUAUUUCUCAUUUAUUUUUUGUUGAUGACAGCUUGGUGUUCUCCAAAGCAACGAUUGCAGAAUAUAACCAUCUCAAAGAGUUGUUUGAUCUGUAUAGUAAUGCAUCUGGUCAAGUCAUCAAUUUUCAAAAAUCAUCUUUAUUUUUCAGUCCAAAUACUCCAGGAAACAUCAGAGAGGCAAUUAAACAUGUCUUCAACCUUUCUGUUGUCUCUCAUCAUAAGCAAUAUCUUGGUCUCCCAUUGAAGCUGGGCAGAAGUAAAAAAUUCUUCUUUAAUACAUUAAAGACUCAGCUUUGGGACAAAAUUAAAGAUUUGGAAAGCCAAAUUAUUCUCAAGCGGCGGUAAAGAGAUAUUGAUCAAAUUUGUUGCUCAAGCUAUCCCCACAUAUGCGAUGAGUGUCUUCAAGCUCCCUCUCAGCUUUUGUGAUGAUUUGAAAAAAUUAAUCACCAAUUUUGGUGGAGUCAGAAUUUAUCCUCCAAAAGCCUUCACUGGUUGCCAUGGCUGAAACUCUUCCUUUCAAAGGAAUAUAGGGGCCUUGGUUUUAGAGAGUUAAGCUCUUUUAAUAAAGCUCUUAUAGCAAAACAAUGCUGGAGAUAAAUUUCUUUUCCACACUUUCUAGUCUCCAAAGUUAUUAAAGCUAAAUAUUAUCCAAGAGGCAACUUCAUGGAGAGUAAAUUGGGUAGUAAUCCUUCAUAUAUAUGGAGAAGUAUCUUAUGGGGGAAAGAGGUCAUUGAGGCUGCCUCAAGAUAGAGAAUUAGAUAUGGUAAAAUUGUUUCUAUUUAUCACCACAUAUGACUUCCUCAUCCUAGCACAUUCAAGUCAUUCUCUCCUCAGAUCCUACCUUCUCAAUCUCGAGUAACCAUCUUGAUUGACGAAGAAGGACGCUGGAAAGAAUAGUUAAUAAGAACUCAUUUUCUCAAAGAAGAUGUAACUCAGAUUUUGAAAAUCCUAUUACCCAAAAGGCCAUUGGAGGAUCAACUGGUCUGGACAUAUGAUAAGUGAGGCCACUAUAACGUAAAAAGUGGCUACCAUGUGUCCUUUUGUUUGAAACUCAAGGACUGGCCUUCCAGUUCCAGUACUAACACAGGGUGGUGGAAAUAUCUCUGGAAUUUGUCUCAACCAUCCAAGAUUAAAUUUUUUUAUUGGCGAGCCUUUUCCAAUAUUCUAGCCACUUAUUUAAAUAUGCAUAAAAGGAAAAUUCAAGUUGCUCCUUCAUGCCCUUGUUGUGGCUUUGCUUAUGAGGAUCAGUAUCAUGCUCUGGUGGGGUGUAAUAAGAGAAGAAGGUAUGGAAGCUCACGAGAUUUUAUUCAUGUCUAAAGAUUACAAGGCCCGUUGAGUUUUCCAAUUUGACCACUCACAUAACAUCUAUAUUAACAAAAGAUGAGUUUGAAGAAUUGGUAGUCUUAUGUUGGUCAAUUUGGUUAGCUCAGAAUCAUUUGGUUUAUGGUAAAGUUAUCACUGAGUCUCAAGCAAUUUGGCUAGCUCGGAACCAGCAAGAACAUUAAACCCAAUACUCCCAGCUCAUGUUGCGAAAGUCCUCCCUCGUCAUGGUACAAAGUGAAUGUUGAUGAUUUGUAGGGUGAUUUUCUCUAAAGAUAUAGAGUUUGUGGAAGUUGUUGCAAUGCCCAAAGGCCUUCAAUUGGUAAUGAAUAUCGGGUUGGCUCCUGCUAUAAUUGAGUUAGAUUCUCUCAAUGUCGUUAAUCUUAUUAGUAACAAAAUGCACAACAGAUGUGAAGUGGGGUGAUUAAUCUCCAACAUUCAAGAAGUCUUACUGUUGUAAAAAAUUUUAAUAUACUCGCAAGCGCACGAAUCAACAGAUAGAAUAGUGGUAACGAGAUCGAACCCACAAAGAUUGUUAUAAAUUGAAAAUUCUAAUUUAAAUCUAAAAUUAAUAUUAAUUCUAGCCUAGUUGAGCAAAUUAAGUUUUUAAUAAAAUUAAACUAAUUAAACUAAGAAAACUAUUAAAGCAAAUGAGAAUUCAAUAAGACAAAAAUUACCAAGGUUUCAUAAUCCACCACUAUUCAACUAGUAUUUAUCUAAAUAUUAAUUAAUCCUCAAUUUUAGAGUGACAACUCGAAAACAAUCUAUGUCAUCUCAUAAAUAUAACAAUUAAGCCCAAAUAAAAUUAAUCUUACGUAAGUUCUUUUUCUGCUUGAUAGUAUGACAGCUAAGUAUCCUAUGUAAACAUAUUGAAUAACAAAGAGUCAAAGUUUUCCUAAGCACUCUGUGUAAACAAUUUAUUGAAAAACACAAAAUCAAAUAUAAUCAUAUAUAAACUUUAUAGAUCCAAGCAUAGACUUAAUCAAAUAUUAAUCUUAACAAUCAAUAAUGCAUGACAGAAUUAGUGAAAAAGAAUUUAAUAACAUCCAACUAAUCAUGUGAAACAAGAACCAUAAACAUUAAAACACACAUGUGGGGAAUUAAUUAAAUAAAGAGAUAACUAUUUCAUUGAAUAAGAUUUCAUCCUUAACCUCAGUAUAAGAAAAUUAGGUAGACAUAUUUGAAUUAAGAGCAACAAAAUAAAUAACCCCAGCCAUGAAAACUAAACAGCCGUUGCCGCUCCUGUCUUCUCUCCUUAAUCGUGUCUCCUUUCGCUUCCUUUUGCGUUUGGCGGCUUCUCCCAUUUUUUGUCCAAAAGCCAAAAGCUUGCGUAUAUAGCUUCAAAAUGGGCCCCACAUUUUCAAUUCUAAAGCCAAAACGCUUUGGCCUUUUAUUUGUUUUGCUCCCACACGCCAAAUCCUUUGUAUAUUAUUUCCUUAUUAAAAUUGGAAAUCUAGCCACACGUUUGACUUCCAAAGCAAAAGGCCAAUUAAUGAUUUCUUCCUUUAAUGCCCAACACGUACAUUCCAAAUUACUAAAUAAAAUCUUUCUUUAAUUAUCUUAAGCUCAUGCGGAAACUUUGGAACAUAAUCUUUAAUUCUUCAAUUCUUUUCUCUUAUGGAUCUUUUAUGCACUUUUUUUUUUCGUAAUCUCAAAUUAAUUCCCUAUUUAAUAAAACAAUUCAAUUAGUUAAUAAUAAGAAAUAAAAAUAACUAGCAAAUAUACAAUAAGGGGUAAAAUAUAUAUAUAAAUUAUGCUCAUCAAAUACCCCCAAACUUAGAUUUUGCUAGUCCUUGAGCAAAACUAAAACUUAAAAACAAAAAUUAAAGUAACAAAACAAAAAAGUAAAUCCUAACUAAAACCAUUUUUGCNNNNNNNNNNNNNNNNNNNNNNNNNNNNNNNNNNNNNNNNNNNNNNNNNNNNNNNNNNNNNNNNNNNNNNNNNNNNNNNNNNNNNNNNNNNNNNNNNNNNNNNNNNNNNNNNNNNNNNNNNNNNNNNNNNNNNNNNNNNNNNNNNNNNNNNNNNNNNNNNNNNNNNNNNNNNNNNNNNNNNNNNNNNNNNNNNNNNNNNNNNNNNNNNNNNNNNNNNNNNNNNNNNNNNNNNNNNNNNNNNNNNNNNNNNNNNNNNNNNNNNNNNNNNNNNNNNNNNNNNNNNNNNNNNNNNNNNNNNNNNNNNNNNNNNNNNNNNNNNNNNNNNNNNNNNNNNNNNNNNNNNNNNNNNNNNNNNNNNNNNNNNNNNNNNNNNNNNNNNNNNNNNNNNNNNNNNNNNNNNNNNNNNNNNNNNNNNNNNNNNNNNNNNNNNNNNNNNNNNNNNNNNNNNNNNNNNNNNNNNNNNNNNNNNNNNNNNNNNNNNNNNNNNNNNNNNNNNNNNNNNNNNNNNNNNNNNNNNNNNNNNNNNNNNNNNNNNNNNNNNNNNNNNNNNNNNNNNNNNNNNNNNNNNNNNNNNNNNNNNNNNNNNNNNNUUGUACUGUGGAGAUAGAAUCAAGACAAACAGUCAUUUACUCUAUCUAAAAUUCUCAACUCAGGCUGCGUCAAUCUUAGAUUUCAAGUCAGAAAAAAUUAAUAUUAGUGCUCAUAGUUUAAAGAAUCUCAAUCAAGAUGAACUAACACAAGGAUCAAGUAUAAACUCAGACAAUAUUCAACCAUUUCUAAGAACCAUAGUCAUUGUCAAUCAAGUUCUUAUCAUUGGCUUUUCACAUAAAAACAAAAAAAGACAACACAAAUUUUUUUUUGAAUUUUUGAAAAUUUUUAAUUUUUUUUAAUAACAAACAAAGCACACACUAUUCCCACCCCCAAACUUAUUCGGAACAUUGUCCUCAAUGUUUCACAAACAAAAGAUAUGCAUGCAAAAAUAUGAGAAUAAAUAAAUAAAAACAUAAAUAAUAAAAGAAAAAGUUGGAGAGAACACACCUGAAUGGGCUGGAAAAGCGUAAAAAAAUGACAAAUAACAAGAAAACGUUAGAAAAGAAAAAUACUAGAAAAGAAAAACAAACAAUGAAAAGAAAACCUACUAUUUAAAUUUUAAAAAAAAGAAUGUAAAGAUGGAAUUAAUUAAUCAUGACAAACAGAAUCAUCUAAACUAUCUCCUCAAUUUCUGGUGUUCUUAACUCUAAAAAUGGUUUGAAUCUUUGACCCUUGACUUUAAAUAAGAAAAGACAGUACGAACUAUAAAAGGACCAGAUCAUCGAGAGCGUAACUUACUUGGAAAGAGAUGCAGUCGGGAAUUAUAUAAAAGUACUUUCUGACUUGGUGUAAAGGAUUUUCUCAAAAUGUGCUUGUCAUGAAAGAAUUUCAUUUGUUGUUUAUAAAUCUUGGCAUUCUCAUAUGCAUCAUUCUUGAUCUCUUCAAGUUCUGCUAGUUGUAAUAUUCUCUUAGAACCAGCCUGCUGGAUAUCAAAAUUGAAUUUCUUGAUAGUCCAAUAUGCACGAUACUCCAACUCUAUUGGCAGAUGACUUGCUUUUCUAUACACAAUUCUAUAAGGUGACAUCCCAAUUGGGGUUUUGAAAGUUGUCCUAUAUGCCCACAAUGCAUCAUCAAGUCUUAAAGACCAAUCAUUUCUAUCUGGCCUAACUGUUUUUUUCUAGAAUUUGCUUGAUCUCUCUAUUAGAAAUCUCUACUUGGCCAUUAGUUUGACGAUGGUAUGGGGUGGCAACCUUAUGUGUAAUGGAAUAUUUGUUCAAAAGAUUUUUGAAAGGUUUAUUGCAAAAAUGGGUACCACCAUCACUAAUGAUUAUUUUAGAGAAACCAAAAUGAGACAGAAUAUUACUCUUCAAGAAUUUCACUUCAACACUCUGAUCAUUAGUUUUGCAUGGAAUAGCUUCAACCCAUUUCGACAUAUAGUCCACUGCAACCAAUAUAUACUAAUAACCAAAAGAUGGAUGAAAAGGUCUCAUGAAAUCAAUACCCCAUACAUCGAAGAUCUCAACAAUCAAAAUAGGAUUGAGUGGCAUCAUAUUCCUCUUUGAAAUGCUACUCAUGCAUUGGCAUCUAUCACAUAAAGAACAGAAAACCUAAGCGUCAUGAAAAGGAGUAGGCCAAUAAAAAUCACAUUGUAAAAUUAUUGUUGCUGUCUUUUUAGCACUAAAAUGGCCUCCACAAGCUUGUUCAUGGAAAAAAGAGAUGACAUUUUGAAUUUAAUUCUCUGGAACACAUCUCCUAAUAAUCUGAUCAGCACAAUAUUUAAACAAAUAGGGAUCAUCCCAAAAAAAAUUCUUCACUUUGGAUAAGAACUUUGUUCUAUCUUGCUUGGUCCAAUGUUUUGGGAUUUGACCUGUAACAAGGUAAUUAACUAUAUCAGCAAAUUGAUUAACACUAAAAAGUGUACGUGUAAUAAAGAUAAAAUUAUCAGUUUUACACUUAUUGUGUAGAUUAAUGCGCUCAUUAUUUCUAAAUUAUCUUAAUACUUCCCAAAUAAAUUUUUGUGUUAAUUUAAUUCACAAUAUAUUAAGUUUUAUCUUAUAAAUAUUUUUCAGGAAUAAAUUGGAAUUGAAAGCGUGAACAAAGAAGGACUGCUGGAGCAAUUUGGAAGCAUUAUUGAGGAGAUGUAAAUAAAUAAAAAAAUGAAAAUGAAUAAAAAAUAAAAAAAGAACAAAAGAACAAAAACCAAAUUGCUCAUUCUCGUAAUGGUCAAGUGGCCAUCAUAGCCACUUGACCAUUACACAUUUCAAUGUACAUAUAUAAUAAUAAUAAUAAUAAUAAUAAUAAUGAUAAUAACAUAAAUAAAGAUAAUGCAUUCCUUGCCUAUAAAAGGCAAGGAAAUGCAGGAAGCUUGAGUGGAGAGACGCGAGGGGAUUUGAGAUUUUUAAGCCGAGAGAAUUAGUUGUAGCCACGAGGGAACUGAAGAAUUUCUGUCUUUCUUUCUUUUCUUUUCUUGUUUCCUUUUGUAUCAAUUUUCCUCGUAACAUAUUUCAAAAGUUUAUCAAAUAAAAAGAGUAUUGUGUUUUCUUUCGAUAUGAGUGGCUAAUUUUAGUAAGCUGAGGUGAAAGGUGAAGCUCAAUGUUUCAAACUAUUAAAUUUAUUAUUUUCUCAAAUGAGUUUUUAAGUUUAUUUUAUUUAUUUCUAGUUAUUUUUAUGUCAUGUUAAUUUAUAAAUUUUCUUGGAUCUAUAUGGUAUUUUGACAUAAUAUCGAUACAUUAAUAUAGUGUGGCACAUUAGGUACUUUAUUUCAUAUUUAUCCACACACAUAAAAUUAAAUGAUAUAAUAAUUAACUGCUAAAAGUGAGGCAAAAUAUAAAUGAGAGAGUAUUAAAAUUAUAGUUUGAAUACUGGGAGUGGAUCCCAUAACAUUAGUAUAUUUUAAAAUUGUUUUCAAAUAAUUUCUUUUUCCCACAAUUAAUUUUCUUUGUUUAACAAAUUGACAACUAGAUUUUAAAAAUUCCUUGUGGUUCGACCCGAACUCGCCGGGUUAUAUUACAACUAAAUACUCUUAUAUUUGGGAGUAAUAUACUUUUGAGUCAUGUCAAAUUUUUGGCACCAUUGCCGGGGAGUUUUCUAAAUUUUGCGUUAGUUUGUUUUUACUUUAUUUUUAUUUUAUUUUAAUAUUUUAUUAUUAUUUUUUUUUGUCCUACUAUCUUUCCGUGAUCCUAUUUUAUUCCCUUUUUGCAAAACUUCAGUUAGCACCCCUCCUCUUUUCAAACUUUAACAUUAUCCAUAAAAUUUGUGAGAAACUUCAUCUUAGCCCAUAAACAUUUGCAAAUCAGUCCUCAAAUCGAAUUUAUUUCUUUAAAUUUCUGCAAUUUACUUUCUACAUUUAUUUUAAAUGGUCGGUUCUACCGCCUAGCAUUUUAAUUUCAGUUUAUUUAUUCUUGUACAUUAAUUUAUUUAAUUUUAUGUUUUAUUAUAUGGCUGGUUUUAAAAUACCUUCUAAACUGUUUCUUUUAAUUUCUUUGCUUAUGGCUGGUUUCACCACCUAAUUUAUUUAUUUAUUUAAUUCAGUUUGUUUAUUUUUAUUUUACAUUUUUUUCUUAUUUAAUUUCUAGUUUUUUUCUUCAAUUUUCAUUUAGCGUUUUAUGCAUCAUUAGUUUAGCACACAUCAUUAGCAUUGUAUGCGUCGUUGGUCUCGUACAAAUAGUGGCAGAUUAAUUAGAAGAUCACCUUCACAACCCUUAGAUGUGGCUGACACAGGAGCUGAAAAUUUUUCGGAGCGUGAAAAUGACCAAGCCUUGCAAAAUCUUCAUGAACAGCCUAGGAACCUAAGAGAUUUCAUGCAUCCUACUAGAACAGGGUCAUCAUCAUGCAUAGUUUUCCCUGCUGAUGCAUCACGUUUUAAUUUUAAACCUGGUAUCAUUCAACUUCUUCCUACUUUUCAUGUUUUUGAGUCUGAAAAUCCAUAUUUGCAUUUAAGGGAAUUUGAGGAAGUCUGUAACACAUGUACUUAAGUUUUUUCCUUUCUCACUAGAGGAUAAAGCUAAAACUUGGCUACAAAAUCUUAAGUCAAGAUCCAUUAAAACUUGGGAUGAAAUGCAAGCACAAUUUUUGAAAAAAUUCUUCCCACCCUACAGAACUAAUUAUUUCAAAAGACAAAUCAACACAUUCACUCAAAAACUAGGAGAAACCCUCUACCAAUGUUGGGAUAGGUUUAAAGAACUACUUAACAUUUACCCACACCACGGUUUUGAAACAUGGAGAUUAGUGUCUUAUUUCUACGAGGGAUUAACAUCCCAGGGUAGACAAGUCAUUGAAAUGAUGUGUAAUGGUGAGUUUAGGGAUAAAAGUCUUGAAGAUGCAUUAAACUAUCUUGACUAUAUAGCAGAGAAUGCACAACACUGGGAUACAGUUGGUUCUUAUGAGUCAUCAAGUCAACCCCAGUCAUCUCUAUCUGGUGGAGGCAUGCAUAACCCUAGGGAAGACCAUGAUUUUCAAGCCAAAUUUACAUUAUUAGCUAGAAAAGUCGAAGCAUUAGAGUUGAAAAAGAAUGAUCAUGUAAAAUAUGUUCAAAAUAUUUCAUGUUAUGUUUGCGAUUCUACUGACCAUUUUACGUAGGACUGUCCAACUUUGCCAGCAAUGAGCGAAAGUUUGCAUGAACAAGUAAAUGUCGUUGACAAUUUCAAAAGGCCAAAUUCAAAUCCAUACUCCCAAACUUACAACUCUGGAUGGAAAAACCACCCAAAUUUUAGUUGGAGAAAUGACAAUCAUACACAACCUUCACAACCAAUUCCUCCACAUCAAAAUUUUCAAAACUUCCAGAGUUACCCAUCAUAUGUCCCACCACCAAGAAAAACUUUGGAAAACACAUUGCAUUCGUUUAUUGAAAAAUAAGAGUCAAUCAAUAACCAAACGAUGUAAACCUUAACUAAUUUGACAGAAACUAUCUCCAAACUUACAUCUACUCUGACCAUGUAUGAAAAAGGAAAGUUUCUUGCUCAACCUGAACCAAACCCCAAGAGUCAACAACAUCCGCAAAUGGGAAAUUCAGGAAACCAAAUUAUGAGUCAACUCAAAUCGGUUAUAACCCUUUGUGGUGGUAAAGUGGUCGAAAACAUAUUGUGGACCCUCGUGAAACUAGUAAAGAUUCAAUUUCAGAAAAUAGGGAAGAAUCUGUCGAACCUUUAACCCAUGAAGAAAUAACCAACUCUCCUCCUGUACCCCUAUUUCCUCAAGCACUAAUCAAGCCAAAGAAAUCAAACCACAGUCUAUAAAUUUAUGAAGUUUUUAAAUAAGUAAAGGUCAACAUUCCUCUGCUGGAUGUCAUUAAAUAAGUACCUUCUUAUGCUAAAUUCUGAAAGAUAUGUGCACGGUGAAAAGGAAACAUAAGGUGCAAAAGAGAACUUUUCCAGCAGAACAAAUAAGUUCCAUUCUCUCAACCAAUAGUACUUUGAAAUACAAGGAUCAUGGUUGUCCAACUAUUUCUUGCACUAUUGGGGAUCAUAAAAUUGGACAUGCUCUACUUGAUCUUGGUGCCAGUGUUAAUUUGCUUCCUUACUCAUUGUACUAACAACUCAAUCUCGGUAAGUUAAAACCAACUUCUACCACUCUUUUACUUGCUGAUAGAUCGAUUAAGAUUGCAAAAGGAAUAAUUGAAGAUGUAUUAGUUCAGGUCAAUAAAUUCAUAUAUCUUGUGGAUUUUAUUGUUUUGGAAACGGAACCAAUUGCUAAUGAAUGCAAACAAAUUCCUCUUAUAUUGGGUCGACCAUUUUUAGCUACUGCUAAUACUUUGAUAAAUUGCAAGAAUGGAUUAAUGAAUUUAUCUUUCGACAACAUGACACUGGAACUCAAUGUGUUCAACAUAUGUAAACAACCUCACCACUAAGAAGAUGAUGAUAAUGAGAAUGAGGAGAUUGAUCUCAUCGAGCUAAUAAUUGAGGAACACAUUCAGGAUGAGAAUUUUAUAAACUCUACGAAAAUUUGUUUUGCUGGUUCUUUUGAAUCAAGUAAGGAAUUAGAUUGUGAUACUGCUAACAUAUGUCGUACACUUGAUUCUAUGCAGGUCCCUAUAGGUGACGAUGACCAAUCGAACUUUGAAGAUACGAUACAACCCGAAGAACCAAACGAAGAGAAAACACCAGAGAUCGAAUUAGAGCCCUUACUAGAAGAAUUGAAAUAUGUCUAUCUUGGAGAACAGCAGACAUAUCCGGUGGUAAUUUCUUCCCAGUUCACGCAUGAUCAAGAAGGUAAGUUGUUAUCUAUUCUAAAAAAGCGUAAAACUGCAUUUGGUUGGACCUUAAAAGACAUAAAAGACAUUAAUCCUUUAAUUUGCACACACCGAAUACACUUAAAGGAAAAUGCCAAAACAACUCGUCAACCACAAAGAAGACUAAACCCUCAUAUGAAAGAAGUGGUAAAUAAUGAGGUCCUUAAACUACUAGAUCUAAGAAUUAUCUAUCUUAUCUCUUAUCAAAUCCCUAUAGCCUUAGAAGACCAGUAAAAGACCACAUUCACAUGCCCAUUUGAAAUAUUUGCAUUUAGGAGAAUGCCCUUUGGACUUUGUAAUGCUCCUGCAAUAUUUCAAAGGUGCAUGCUAAGCAUUUUUAGUGACAUGGUUGAAAAUUGUCUAGAGAUUUUUAUGGAUGAUUUAACUGUAUUUGGUAAUUCUUUUGAUACAUGUCUUGAUAAUCUAGAAAAUUUUUUGGAAAGGUGCAAAGAAAAAGGACUAGUUUUAAAUUGGGAAAAUGUCAUUUCAUGACCACUUCUAAAAUUGUCUUGGGCCAUGUUGUGUCUUCAAAAGGAAUUGAAGUUAGCAAAGUUAAAGUUUGAAGUCAUUUCAAAAUUACCUUCACCAAAGACAAUUAGAUAACUCCGUUCCUUUUUAGGACAUGCAGGAUUUUAUAGGAGGUUUAUAAAAGCCUUUAGUGUCAUAUCUAGACCACUUUGUAACCUACUAAUAAAAGACACACCUUUUGAAUGGACUAAAGAUUGUCAACAAGCUUUUGAAAAAAUAACUACUCUUUUGACAUCAGCCCCAAUAAUGCAACCCCCUGAUUGGUCUUUACAUUUUGAGCUAAUGUGUGAUGCUAGUGAUUAUGCCGUUGGCGCUAUUCUAGGUCAAAGAAAGGAAGGUAAGCCCUUUGUCAUCUAUUAUGCAAGUAGAACUUUGAAUAGUACUCAAAUGAAUUACACUACAACUGAGAAAGAACUACUUGUUGUAAUAUUUGCAUUGGAUAAAUUUCAUUCGUAUUUAAUUGGUUCAUCUACUGUUGUUUAUUUUGAUCAUGCUGCUGUGAGAUAUUUAAUGUCAAAACAGGAUGCCAAACCAAGGUUGAUAUGAUGGAUUUUGCUACUUCAAGAAUUUAAUUUGACGAUUAAGGAUAAAAAGGGCGUUGAAAAUGUUGUUGCAGAUCAUCUUUCAAGACUUACAAAUGAGUCUUCAAUUGAAACAACACCCAUCAAUGAUUCUUUCUCUAAUGAAUUUUUGUUUUCUAUAAACAAAAUGCAUUGGUAUGCUAAUAUUGUUAAUUAUCUUACGACAUGUGAAAUGCCAUGUGACUGGAGUUCCCAAGACAAGAGGAAAUUCUUAACAGAAGUGAGAAGCUUUUACUGGGAUGAUCUAUACAUGUUCAAAUACUACCCUGAUCAAAUACUACUCUGAUCAAAUUUUUUGAAGAUGCAUACCAGAUGACGAGGUAAGUAGGGUCAUUCAAUUUUGUCAUUCUGAAGCAUGCGGUGGCCAUUUUUCUUCAAAAAAGACAGCUGCAAAAAUAUUGCAGUGUGGAUUUUAUUGGCCUAUAUUAUUUAAAGAUUCACAUGCAUUCUAUAAAAUGUGUAAGAAUUGUCAAAUGAUAUGGUCUAUUUCAAAACGAAACAUGAUGCCUUUAAACCCCAUCCUUGUUAUUGAAAUAUUUGAUUGUUGGGGAAUUGAUUUUAUGGGCCCUUUUCCAUCAUCAUUUGGAUUUGUAUACAUUUUGGUUGUUGUUGAUUAUGUUUCAAAAUAGAUCGAGCUGAUUCAUUGUCGGCACAAUGAUCACAAGAUUGUGAUCCGCUUUUUAAAAGAAAAUAUUUUGAGCAGAUUUGGAAUAUCUCGAGCCAUUAUCAGUGAUGGAUGUAAGCAUUUUUGUAAUAAGCCAUUUGAGUUAUUAAUGAAGAAAUAUCGAAUUACACAUAAGGUUGCUACCCCUUAUCAUCCUCAAACAAGUGAUCAAGUUGAAUUAGCAAAUAGGGAGAUAAAAUAAAUUUUAGAAAAGACAGUUAAUCCAAAUCGUAAAGAUUGGUCUCUUCGACUAACUGAUGCACUUCGGGCAUAUCGUACUACUUUUAAAACAUCUUUAGGAAUGUCACCCUAUCGUCUUGUUUAUGGAAAAUCUUGCCACUUACCAGUUGAACUUGAACAUAAAUCAUUUUGGGCCAUUAAAGUUUUUAAUUCAAAUCUUGAUGAUGCUAGUAAUGUGCUUAAAUUGAAAAUAAAUGAACUUGAGGAAUUAAGGAAUGAUGCAUAUGAGAAUUCUAGAAUUAUUAAGGGAAGAACCAAAUUUUUUCUUGACAAAAGAAUUUUUUAGAAAAUGUUUGAAAUUGGUCAAAAAAUGUUGCUUUAUAAUUUUCGUCUUCAUUUAUUUUCAGGGAAGUUAAGGUCAAAGUGGAAUGGUCCAUUUUUUUGUAAAAAAUGUGUAUCCAUAUGGAGCCGUAGAAAUUGAGAAUCGAAAGGAUGGUGUCACAUUUAAAGUUAAUGGCCAAAGAUUGAAACCAUAUCUGAAAUACCAACCACAUAAAGCAGAAUACCGAAAUCAAUUUGAAUGACCCACCAAAUUUUGAUUAAGCCUUUUCAUUUUAACGUUUUGUGAAUUUGAUUUACUGUUACUUUAUCGUUUGAAUUGUUUGAUUUUUUUUCUUUUUCCUCUUCCCUAUAUCUUGAAUGGAGUACAUUACAUUGUUUUAAUUGUGUGUUGUUUGACAAUUGUGAUUUAGCUCACCAAAUUUUUAUACUUGUCAUGAGUACCUCCAUGAGAAAUUUCCUUUUCGAUCAUUUUAAAGCACUUUUACAAGUAAAAUUUCACCUGAGGAAAUUACUUUGAUUUUGUAAAUCACAUCCCAUUUGGGACCUACAACCACCAAAGUCAGUAUCCCACAUGAAAGAUCUAGAAAGACAACUCAAGGAAAUAGAGGAUGGUAUUUAUAAUAUGUUAUUGGAACUGGAGGUAAAUUCAAUAAAAGGAUAAAGGUGAGUUAUAUUCCUUGUGUGUUUUUAUUUUAUUUUGUUGUUCUUAUUCACUUUUGAUUUGUUUUGAUUCACUCUUCCGUAUAAAUGGCGAAUAACGGUACUCCGUGACUUUUUAAGUCGAUAUUCUCAGUAUCCCACAAUAACUGAAACCUCAAUGUCAAGCAUGGAAGAAAUACAAUGAAAAUUGCAUCAACGUUUUCCUUCUCUCCCUCAAAAUGCUCUUAAGAAGAUUUACAAAACUCGUUGUGAACGACUACAAUUGUUAAUGAUCAAUGGGAUUCGCUAGUUAAUUGAAGCAAAGGUCCGACUGGCAUGUGAGUUUUCUUAUCCAUUCAUUUCUUACAUGCCUGGUCUUUGUAAAAGUAUAUUUGCUAAGAAAAGAAGAGCUAAGCGACUUGGCUCUGAAUGUUCUCACUAUGUAAGACUUGCUUGUAAAAAGCCACAUUGUAAGGAAUGGUUUCUGUAAAUCGUGAAGAUAAAAUCAAAUUCGUUAAGGAUGGCAUAAGCAAAGAAUCGUUGGAUGAUAUCUUACGAUCUCUUAAGACGCAUCCGAGCAGAUAUGUUCAAUGUGAAAUUUAAAAUUUGUGGAAACUAUUCCAAAAGGAAAGUGUACAGUUUAGUCUUGGGAAUUUGACUCUAAAAGACCCUGUUUACCAGUUUAUAAGAAAACUGGAUGGGAAGCCUAUUCUCAACCCAUAGAGGGCGUUCAAGCCGUUACUGGACGUAAAACCAGAGGAAGAUGUGAGCCACAAUCAUAACUACCAGUAAAUAUCCUUUUAUUUUACUAUUCUUUUAUCUUUUGCAUUAUUAUUAUUAUUAUGUGUUUUUUUAUCUAAUCACUGUUUGUUUUUCUUUUUACUGUUUGCCUUUGAAUUAUUAAGCUAAAAGCUUCACGCAUCAUUUGACACACACACCACCCCAUUUACAGAUAUCAUUAUGUCCGUCACCAAGAUCCUUAAAUAGGAACUUCUUUUCAAGCACUCACAAAUUGUUUCUUUUUAGAAUUGUUCUAAUGGCAGCAACUUCAAGCAGUCAACUUAAAAACAUUUGUGUACUUUUUGGAUUUCGCUAUGGAAAGUAUAAGGAGUUCAUUCAAGCAGCCAUAGAUCUUGGUCGUGCUAUAGCAGAGAGGAAACUACAUCUUGUAUAUGGAGGAGGUGGCCAAGGGUUAUCAAAACUUAUCUCUGAAGCUGCCUUCAUUCGAGGAAGCCAAGUGCUAAGCAUCAUUCCAAAAGCUUUAAAACCUUUAGGAUGUCUACCAAACCCACCAACUGGAGAAGAGUUAGUUGUCUUAGGUAUGCAAGAAAGAAUAUCCGAAAUGUUAAAUCAUGCUGACGCUUUCAUUUUCUUGCCAGGAGAUCUUGCAACUUUAGAGACGCUAAUUACAUUUUCUUCUUGGGCCCAUUUGAAUAUUCAUCAAAAACCCAUCAAAUUGUUAAAUGUUAAUAACUUUUAUGAUGGCUCAAUAAUAUUUCUUAAUCAUGCAAUAAAAAAUUACUUCAUUCCAUCCUCAGCAAAAAAACUCUUCAUUUGUGCUCCUAUUGAUAAUGAGUUAUUUGAUCUUUUGCAAGCUUAUAAACCAGAGCCAGAUCCGGUGACUUUGGCAUUGGAUUGGGCAACUGAGGACGAUGGCAGUAACUCUCGUAAAAAGUAUAAAUUAGAUUUAACUCUCCGUUUGUAAAUAUUUCCAGUUGUGGCCAGGUGAUAUCUUCUAAACUCUACUCCUUUCUUUAGACAUUGAGGACAAUGUCUCCUUUGGGUUGGGGGAGGGAAUAGUUGAUAAUUGUGGAAUGUCUCAGUCCUGGUGAUGUUUUUACUAAUUUUUGGUGUAAAGACUAACUUUGGAUAAAAAUUUGAGUCGAAAAUGACAGAAUAUAGAAUGUAGUAUCUCUAAAAACGCAUCUUAAUUUUAGUGUGUUUUCUAAAAAAAAAUUAUUUUCUAACUUUUUAUUUCUGUCUUUUUCUCUUUUUCUCUUAAUCAUCUCCCUUAAGUUUCUGCAAUUAGUCCCAAAUUUUUAGUGUUUUCUUAAAAAAAAAAAGUUUUCUUUUUCGGUGUGAUCUUUUGACAUUGGAUAACAUGAUGAUUUUUAAAUUUUGGUAUUCGUAUUAUCUUUGGCCUUGAGUUAUGUUACACUAUGUUUUUCCCUUUGCAUGUUGAAACGUAAAUUGAGAAAUUGAAUGAGUGAAAUUGAUUAAGCCAUUUGGAGGAAUGUACAUGUUAUAAAAAGUCCAAGCGAGUUUUUUGAGCCUAUUAUCCUUGGAGAGUAACCCUAUUUGCCAAUACAGCUUCUCAAUUUAUUGUACAAUAUCUCAAUAUUUUCUUUAAAAAAAGAGUAAAAAAAAAAGAAAGUUUGUGCAACCGCAUCUAAAAGUUUAUUGAACUAGUGGAUAUGAAAGAUUAUUUAAAGCCCUAAAAGAUGACAGAAGACCAUCUUUGACCCAUUGAGCCUUUCUAGCCAACCUUAUUAUAAAGAAUCCAUAGUUAAUCUCUUUGAGCCUUAAAAAAAAAAAAUUUCCUUUGAUAACCUAUUAUCUUAUCCCACUCCAAUGUGGAGCAUCACCUUAUAUUUUAUGUUUUCCACCACCCAAUUAUGUUUGAAAAUAGGGAUGAUUAUGUAUUCCUAAUAAUGGUGCUAUAAAAAAAAAGAGGAUAUGUAUAUAUAAAUAAAUAAAAUAAAAUAAAAAAGAGAGCAAAAAAAAAAGCACCUUGUAAUCUCCAAAAAGUCCUCUAUUUUUCAAACAUAUAUUUUUGUUUUCCCUAUUACCUUUUUUGUUAGCCAUAACCAUAGCCUACAUUACGUCCUAAUAAAAGUUCUUCUUGAUUUAGGGAAUUAUAGUCUGAAGUAAAAGCUGGUAAUAUGGACUAAAAGAUGUGGUGAUGCAUAAAAAUAAAAAUAAAUUUUGCUAAUAUAAUUCCCUGAGUUGAGAUCAUUUUAUUUCUAAGCGGUGGGUCUUAUUCUUUCAUCUUGGUAAGAGCGUAUGAUAUUGUUUUAUUAUUCUCUCAAAUCUACCUUUUUUUUAGAGUGACAGUUUAAUUUGGGAUAUACUUUCUUUUGAGAGAGUCACUCUUAAUCGUGAGAUUUUGGGGUUUGAUGUAUCAUUUUUAAAAGUGACUUGAUUAAUGUAGCUCUGAUAAUUGAUCAUUUUACAUGAUUUUACUAAACUAUUUUGUGCGAGUGUGAUUUUCUUUAGGCUGAAGAUAAUGCUUAUACUUUUAUUUGAUUGUUGUCAUUAAUACGAUGAAAGAAGUAAACACAAUCCUUCAAAAAAAAUAAAAAAAAAUUCAAUUUGAGUUUGAAAUUUUACUAAACUUUUUUUCGAUUAAAUUAUUAGGGUCUAGCAAUAAGUUGGUUGGGGGGUGUGAUUAACACUAAAAAGUGUACGUGUAACAAAAAUAAAAUUAUUAGUUUUACACUUAUUGUGUAGAUUAAUGCGCUCAUUAUUUCUAAAUUAUCUUAAUAUUCCCCAAAUAAAUUUUUGUGUUAAAUUAAUUCGCAAUAUGUUAAUUUUUAUCUUAUAAAUAUUUUUCAGGAAUAAAUUGGAAUUGAAAGCGGGAUCAAAGAAGGACUGCUGGAGCGAUUUGGAAGCAUUAUUGAGGAGAUGUAAAUAAAAAAAUAAAAAAAUAAAAAAAUAAAAAAUAACAAAAGAACAAAAACCAAAUUUCUCAUUCUCGUAAUCACACACACACACACACACACAUAUAAUAAUAAUAAUAAUAAUAAUAAUAAUAAUAAUAAUAAUAAUAAUAAUAUAAUAAUAAUAAUAUAAUAAUAAUAAUAAUAAUAAUAAUAAAUAAAUAAAGAUAAGGCAUUCCUUGCCUAUAAAAGGCAAGGAAAUGCAGGAAGCUUGAGCGGAGAGUCGCAAGGGGAUUUGAGAUUUUUAAGUCGAGAGAAAGAGUUAUAGCCAAGAGGGAACUGAAGAAUUUCCGUCUUUCUUUCUUUUCUUUUCUUGUUUCCUUUUGUAUCAAUUUUCCUUGUAACAUAUUUCAAAAGUUUAUCAAAUAAAAAGAGUGUUGUGUUUUAUUUUGAUAUGAGUGGCUAAUUUUACUAAGCUGGGGUGAAAGGUGAAGCUCAAUGUUUCAAACUAUUAAAUUUAUUAUUUUCUCAAAUGAGUUUUUAAGUUUAUUUUAUUAUUUUCUAGUUACUUUUAUGUCAUGUCGAUUUAUAAAUUUUCUUGAAUAUGUAUGGUAUUUUGAUAUAAUGUCGACACAUUAAAAUAGUUGUGAUACGUUAGGUACUUUAUUUCAUAUUCAUCCACACACAUAAAAUUAAAUGAUAUAAUAAUUAACUGGUAAAAGUGAGGCAAAAUAUAAAUGAGAGAGUAUUAAAAUUAUAGUUUGAAUACAGAGAGUGGAUCCCGAACCUUAGCAUAUUUUUAAAUUGAUUUCAAAUAAUUUCUUUUCCCCACAAUUAAUUUUCUUAGUUUUAAAUUGACUACUAGAUUUAAAAUUCCCUGUGGUUCGACCCCGAACUCACCAAGUUAUAUUAUAACUAUACACCCUUAUACUUGGGAGUAAUACAAUUUUGAGUCGUGUCACAAACCAUGGUACAAUAUUUACACUCAUAAGUUGCUCAUCUGGGAAAGACUCAUUCAAAGGUAAAGAUUCUGAAAUAAAUUUAAGAUCAAGGCGAGAUAAAUGAUCUGUCACAGCAUUUUCAGAACUUUUUUUAUCUCUAAAUUCAAUGUAAAAUUCUUGUAAAAGCAACACCCAACGAAUCAAUCUUGCCUUAGCAUCUUUCUUAGUAAGCAAAUAUUUCAAAGCAGCAUGAUCAGUAAAAAUAAUCAUUUUACAACGUAUAAGAUAAGAUCUGAAUUAAUCAAGUGCAAACACCACAUCUAGCAUUUCUUUUUCUGUAGUUGAAUAGUUCAACUGUGCAUCAUUGAGUAUCAUACUAGUAUAAUAAAUCACAUAAGGCAUACGAUCUAAUCUUUGUCCUAAAACUGCUCCUACAACAUAAUCAGAUGCAUCACACAUAAUUUCAAAAAGCAAUUCCGAUUAGGUGGUCGAAUGAUAAGUGAAGAAGUCAACAAUUUCUUAAGCUUUUCAAAAGCAUCAAGACAAGAUUCAUCAAAGAUAAAAGGUACAUCCUUAACAAGUAAAUUGCAUAAGGGUUUAGAAAUUUUACUAAAAUCUUUAAUGAAUCUUCUAUAAAAACUAGCAUGUCUAAGGAAAGAUCUUACUUCUUUUACGGAUUUGGGGUGUGGAAAAUUGGAAAUUAAAUCCACAUUGGCUUUGUCGACUUUUAUGCCUCUACUGGAAAUUAUAUGACCGAGAAAAAUAUCUUGUUUUACCAUGAAGUGAUACUUUUCCCAAUUUAGAACUAAGUUCUUUUCUUUACAUCUCUGCAAAACUAAUGUUAGAUGUUGCAAACAUUCAUCAAAAGAAUCUCCAUAAACAGAAAAAUCACCAUGAAUACUUCAAGAAAUCGCUCAACCAUAUCAAAAAAAAUACUAAGCAUGCAUCUUUGAAAGAUAGCAGGUACAUUGCAUAAACCAAAUGGUAUUCUCUUAUAUGCAAAAGUUCCAAAUGGACAAAUAAAAGUAAUUUUCUCUUGGUCCUCUAGAGCUAUAGGAAUCUGAUUAUAACCNNNNNNNNNNNNNNNNNNNNNNNNNNNNNNNNNNNNNNNNNNNNNNNNNNNNNNNNNNNNNNNNNNNNNNNNNNNNNNNNNNNNNNNNNNNNNNNNNNNNACAAGUCCAUCAAACAUUUGAUCAAUAAAUGGAAGAGGAAAAUGAUAUUGUCUGGUGACUAAAUUCAAUUUUCUAUAGUCAAUGCAAAACACGCCAACCUGUAGUUACUCUAAUGGGAAUUAACUCAUUAUUAGCAUUAGUAACUACUGUAACACCAGAUUUCUUAGGAACAACUUACACAUGGCUAACCCUAUCUCUUACCACUUCUUUUAUGUUAGGGUUUAGUCUACGUUGCAUCUUCCUAAUAGGCUUAGCAUUUUCUUCAAGAUUAAUAUGAUGCAUGCAAUUUACUAGAUUAAUACAUUUAAUAUCAGCAAUGGUCCAUUCUAUUGCCUCCUUAUACUCUUUUAGAAUACCCAACAACUUACCUUUUUGCUCAAGAUCGGGAAGAAGAAAUAAUAACAGGUAGAGUGUCAGAUUCUCCCAAGAAUGCAUAUUCCAGUGUGUCGGGCAGUGCUUUGAAUUCUAAUUUUGGUAUUGUCUCAACAGAUGGGCUAAUCUUCUUCUCAGAAUGAGGCACUAAAAAGAGAAAUUUGCAUGUCACCAAAAAGGCAUUUUUAACUGAACAAACCAGCAAUGUACUUCAAUGUAAAAUGCCACCAAAAUUUAAGGAUCCAAGUUCCCUUAAUAUCUCAUAUGUUAUAGGGAACCAAUUGUUUAAUAAAGUAUUGUUGGAUUUAGGAGCUAGUGUUAAUCUCUUACCUUAUUUUGUUUACAAGUAACUUGGAUUAGGUGAGUUAAAGUCAACUUCUAUUAUUUUACAACUUGCAGAUAAGUCAAUGAAAAUAUCUCAUGGAAUUCUAGAGAAUGUGUUGAUACAGAUUGAUAAAUUUUAUCCUGUUGAUUUUAUUGUUAUUGAUAUUCAGCAUGUACAAGAUCCUAAGAAACACACCCCAAUUAUUCUAGGCCGUCCUUUCUUAACUACAGCCGAUGCUUUUAUUAAUUGCAGAAAUGGAAACAUGCAGCUGUCCUUUGGUAAUAUGACCAUGAAAUUGAAUAUUUUUAAUGUUACCAAGCAGCCACAAGAAGAAGAUGAAUUUGUCGAAGCAAAUAUGAUAGAAGAAUUAGUAGAAGAUUCAUUCAUUUCUAACCACACUGAUGAUCCAUUAGAGGCAUGUUUAACUCAUUUUGAUUUAUCUUCUAAUGAUGACAGUGUAAAUCUUUUAAAAACUUGGCAUAUGAGGGAACUUGCUUAAUAGCAUCGAGUAAAUGGAUGUUUAUACUUACAUGCUUGAAGAUUUCCAUAAUCUCACCUGUUGAACUCCCUUUCUUUACCUUUGUUAACCUUUAGGGAAAAAGAGCCUUAGGAAUGUAAGUUGGUGGGCCACUUUCUUCUUGAUCAUUAGGUGAUGAAGCUUGUGAUGGAACUAAAUCUACAGAAGUAUGUUCAAAUGUCUUUCUUGUUCGAACCUCCACCUUAUUGUCAAAUAAUUUUCCUCUUCUUAAGGUCAUAAUAGAUUUUGCUUCUUCAUGCAGAUGGCUCGAACUUGAUCCAACUUCAUGCACUCUUUUAAGAUUAGGAAUUGGUUGACUUGAGAAUUUUUCUUUUUCUCUCUCAGCCACAGUAGUUGCUAAUUGACCCAAUUGAUGUUCAAGCUUUAGAAUAGCUUGAGUGUUUGACUGAAAGGCUUGUUGGAUAGACUGAAUGAAACUUUGAAGUGUAUCCUCUAAAGAAGGUUUUCUUUAUUGGAGUGCAACAAAUUGAGACAUAGGCUGUUGGGCAAGGGGAUAUAGUUGGUUAGAAGGGACAAAUUGUUGAUUGGGCAUGUUAAAUUGUUGCCCUCCUUGGUUCGACAAAGGUUGAUUUUGUUUUCAAGAAAAAUUAGGUUGAUUCCUCCAAUUAGGAUUAUAUGUCGAUGAAUAUGGACUAUUGAAGGAUUUUUCAUACGACUGUAAAACAUGUACCUGCUCAGAAUAAGCCUUUGGAUAGGCUGGUAAUGAUGGACAAUUAUGUGUUGUAUGAGAUAAGUUAGAAUAAAGAGCACAAAUCUCAUUAGCUACACUAGGAUGGUGAUUCAUUGAUUGGUUCAGAGCUAAGACAUCUACUUUCCUAGAAAGAGUAGCUAGAGUGGCGUUCACAUCAAAAUCAUCCUUAACUUCAUAUAGACCCUUUUUAGAAACUUGAGAUGAUUUUUCCCUUUGAUUUGAAAAAUUUCACUGUUGAGAAUUUUCAGAAAGUGAAUUAAAGAAAUCUCAUGCAGCCCCUUCAUGUAGGUUCAAAAAUCUCCCACCAUUCAUAGACUCCACCAUAUGAUGAUUUGACAUGGUUAAACCAUUAUAAAAGCAUUGUAUAAGUCUCCAUUUCUCAAAACCAUGGUGGGGACACUUAAGGAAUAAAUCAUUAAAUCUUUGCCAACACUCAUAAAAUUGCUCACCCUCUCUUUGAUAAAAACAACUUAUCUCUCUCAUAAGGGCAUUUGUUUUAGAUAUAGAGAAAAACUUGGUGAGGAACUUAUUACUCAAUUCAUCUCACGUAGUAUUAGACCCAUCAGGAAGUGAAUUCAACCAAGCUUUCACUUUGUCUUUUAAUGAGAAAGUGAACAUACGAAGCGUAAUUGACUCUUCAUUAAAAUUUUAAAAACAGAAUGUAGAGCAUAUGUCAAGAAAUUCCUUAGUUUGCAAAUAUGGAUCCUCUUUCUCUAACCCUUGGAAAAAUGGUAAAAGUUGAAUGACAGAGGGCUUAAGUUCAAUGUGUGUUGCUGUAGUUUGUGGCAACACAAUACAAGAUGGUUGAUUGGUUGCAAGUGGUGAAAAAUAAUCUCUAGGGGUUUUCUAUGCUUGCACUGGUGGUAGUAUUGGCAAUAUUCUAUUUGGGUCAUCCAUCACUUGAGAAGAACUAGCUUGACUACUAUCAAUUUUAGACUCUUUUUUUACUAAACGAUUUGUUGAAUCGCUUUUCCAAACACUCAUAAACUAACUAGACAAAGAAGAAAAAUAAAACAACAAUAAUAAAAAUAAAUAAAAUUUAAAAGAAAUCAAAUAACCAAACAAGAAUUCAAAGUAAAAAAUAAUAAUUUUUUUGUGUUUUUUUAUAAAAAAAUUAAAUAAAUAAAUAAAAGACAACCUAAAUUAUAACUAGUUGAAGAAUCAAAUCAACUUAGAUUAAACUAACUUUCUAGCACAAACUUCGGCAACAGCGCCAAAAACUUGUUGUGAAAAAUUUUAAUAUACUCGCAAGCGCACGAAUCUAGAGAUAGUAUAGUGGUAACGAGGUCGAACCCACAUGAAUUGUUAUAAAUUGAAAAGUCUAAUUUAAAUCUAAAAUUAAUAUUAAUUCAAACCUAGUUGAGCAAAUUGAGUUUUAAAGAAAAUUAAACUAAUUAAAUAAGAAAACAAUUAAAGUAAAUGAGAAUUCAAUAAGACAAAAAUUACUAAGGUUUCAGAAUCCAUCACUAUUCAACUAGUAAUUAUUUAAAUAUUAAUUAAUUCCCAAUUUUAGAGUGAUAACUCGAAAUCAAUUUAUAUCAUCUCAUAAAUAUAACAAUUGAGCUCAAAUAAAAUUAAUCUUAUGUAUGUUCUUUUUCUGCUUGAUAGUAUGACAUCUAAGCAUCCCAUAUAAAUAUAUUGAAUAACAAAGAGUCAAAGUUUUCAUAAGCACUUUAUAUAAACAAUUUAAUGAAAAAUAUAAAAUCAAAGAUAAUCAUAUAUAAACUUUAUAGAUCCAAACAUAGAUUUAGUCAAAUAUUAAUCUUCACAAUCAAUAAUACAUGACAGAGUUGGUGAAAAAAAUUUAAUAGCAUCCAACUAAUCAUGUGAAACAAGAACUAUAAAUAUUAAAACACACAUGUAGAAAAUUAAUUAAAUAAAGAGAUAAUUACUUUAUUUAAUAGAGUUUCAUCCUUAAUCUCAAUAUAAGAAAAUUAAUUAAAUAUACUUAAAUUGAGAGCAACAAAAUAAAUAACACCAGCCAUGAAAACUGAACAGCUGCUAUCGCUCCUGUCUUCUCUCCUGAAUCGCGUCUCCUUUUGCUUCCUUUUUCAUCUGGCGCCUUCCCCCUUUUUGGUCCAAAAGUUAAAAAGCUUGGUUAUAUAGUCUUCAAAAUGAGCCCCGCCUUUUCAAUUCUAAAGCCAAAAGGCUUUGGCGUUUUAUUUGUUUUGCUCUCACACGCCAAAUCUUUUGUAUAUUAUUUCCUUAUUAAAAGUGGAAAUCUAGCCACACGUUUGACUUCCAAAGCAAAAGGUCAAUUAAUGAUUUCUUCCUUUAAUACCCAGCCCAUGCAUUCCAAAUUGCUAAAUAAAAUCUUUCUUUAAUUAUCUUAAGCUCAUGCGGAAGCUUUGGAAUAUAAUCUUUAAUUCUUCAAUUCUUUCCUCUUAUGGAUCUUUUAUGUAUUUUUUUGUUUAUAAUCUCAAAUUAAUUCCCUAUUCAGUAAAACAAUUCAAUUAAUUAAAAAUAAGAAAUAAAAUAACUAGUAAAUAUACAAUAAAAGGUAAUAUAUAUAUAAAUUAUACUCAUCACUUAUCUUCCUCUGAGAGUUCUUUCCAAGUGAAAUUUGCUCCACGGUCUUACAAUGGAGCUGCACAUCAUCUCGCUAAAUUAGCUCUUUGUAAUUCCAUCGAAAAAGUUUGGUUAGAAGAAAUUCCAACUGUAUGUAAAGACAAAUCGCUGUAAUCAUUUUUCUAUUAAUAAAAUUUUAAUUUAAAAAAAACUAAAUGUUAGUUGAUGCUAUUCAUAACUAAUUAUUUUUAUAAUAGAAUUAACAAUAAAUAUUUUUAAAAACUACUUUACUAUCAAAUUAGCCCUUAAAUUGCCAUCUAAAUUUCAUGGAAUGAAAUUUUGAUUAAGUAAUGGUUGUUGCCCUCCUCAUUAAAGAAAAUAUUGUGAAAAAAUGAAUAAUGCUACACAACCUAAGUUUUUAUCACAAAAGCUAUCUCAAUUAACAUUCAACAAUUAAUUAAUAAGAUAAUGUCAUUAUUAUGAAAAAUUAUCAAUAUUUAAUGAAUAACAUAUCAAUUACAAUAAAAUUUGAGAUGAAUAUCUUUUAUCCAAAACAAAUUUAGUUGGGUGCUUGCGCGAUUGUGACGGAAGCAAUGACUUAUCCUGGAGAUGGAAGAGCCUGGAAUGUUUUAUAACAUCACUUUAUUUUUUAUUUUUUAUUUUUUAUUUUGAACACGAAGUGGCCAGGAGAAGAUCAUAUAUUUCUGGAAAGAAAAGACACCAAUAUUAGCCACGUACGGUCAUCUCAAACAUUUGCUAAGUCCAAACCGAUUAGCGCAAACUUUUCGCUAUAAAUAUGCACUCUCGUAACUUCACUUUCGGCGUGUUUAUCGUGUCUUUUCAUUUAUUCACUGUUGAUUCUUAGUAAGCUUCUGUAAUAAUGGCGGACGAAGUGAUUCUGUUGGAUUUCUGGCCCAGCAUGUUCGGGAUGAGGGUCAGGAUUGCUCUGGCGGAGAAAGGCGUCAAGUAUGAAUACAAGGAAGAGGACUUGAAGAACAAGAGCCCCCUGCUUCUGCAGAUGAACCCGGUUCACAAGAAGAUCCCGGUUCUCAUCCACAACGGCAGACCGGUCUGUGAGUCAUCCAUCAUUGUUCAGUACAUUGAUGAAGUGUGGAAGGACAAGGCUCCAUUGCUUCCCUCUGAUCGCUACCAGAGAGCUCAAGCUAGGUUCUGGGUAGAUUUCAUUGACAAGAAGGUAACUUAGUUGUUGAUUUUAUGAAGUGUGUUUAUGGGUAUUUUUUCAAUUUUAGAUUUAAUUGUAAUUUUAUUAAAAUAGAAGCCGAAAUUUUGUUAUUAAAAUAUUUCAUUGUCGAGUAGAUAUCAUGGAUUUGUUGUUUGAUUACAAAUAAACUGGGUUUGCAUUGAACGGAGGGGGAAAAGAUGUCCCCUAUAGAGUUGAAGAUUUUGGUUUUUACAGCACUAUGAUGCAGAUAUUAUAAACUUUAGUAGGUUUUAGUUGUAGCUUAAGAUCAGUAAAGGGCCCAACGAUGAGGAUCAGAGUGAGAGUACUAUAAACUAGAUUAGGCUGAAUAUUUGCAGUUAAAGUCUAGUUUCAGUAGUAAGUGUAGUAAGUAGUGGCCUUCUUAAUGUUUAUUUCUUGGCUUCAGCUUUAGUGGGUGUGUGAGUUUAUAGAUUUUUUUUUUUUUAAGGAAUAGCUUGAUAUUUGGGAGUUCUAUAUUUUUGAGAUAGUAGAAUCUUUUGUCUUGAAAAUAAUUAAAGAGAAACAAGCGAUUAAGCUGAAUUUUUAGGUGAAAAUCUUAAAAUAUGCUUAGAAUUCAACUUGCUCCUUUAUUUUUUUUGGAUGUUUUUGGCCUGUACAUAAUUUUACAGCAGGCUGUAAGACUGUAACCUACCUGUUGCUGAUUUUGUUGUCUUGAGAGGGAUGAGGAACCUGAAUGUGUUAAAUUUUAUCCAUUUUCAGCCAGAUUUUCUGAUACAAAUAUUGAAAGUAAAUUGCAGAUGUAUGAUGCUUCGACGAAGACAUGGACCACAGAGGGAGAAGAGCAGGAGGCGGCUAAGAAGGAGUUCUUUGAAGCUCUGAAGACCUUGGAAGGGCAGCUUGGAGACAAGCCUUUCUUCGGAGGAGACAAUUUUGGGUAUUUGGAUUUGAGUUUGAUCCCAUUCUAUUACACAUAUGAGACAUUUGGAAAGUCCAGCAUUGAGGCUGAGUGCCCCAAGUUCAAAGCUUGGGUGAAGAGAUGCUUGCAGAGGGAGACUAUUGCCAAGGCACUUCCUGAUGAGAAGAAAGUGCUUGAACAUGCUUCAGGGAUGAGGAAAAAUUUAGUAUUGGAGUAGAGAGAAAAAGGGACAUAUCUAGGAGCUGAGAAUAGGUCAAGUAGCGCAACCGUGCUGCCUGCUUAUUCUUUAGGUGGUUGAUGUUGGUUUGGCUUAUGAUAGUUGUUUUCCUAUUGUGUGUUUGUAUCCAGAUUUGUUGUGUUUCCCUUGUAAAAUAAGCUCCAAUAAAGGAUAAUUAAUUUUGUCCCCGACUGUUAUCUUAGAGUAUUGUAAUCACAAAGAUCACAACGUUGAUAAUUAUUAUAUAAAUGUUAUCACGUGCAGAAAUUGAUUGGACAUUAGAGAAAAUUAUUUGGAUAGUUCAUAUAAUUAUUUUGGUUAGCAGUUAUUAUUUUUCAGCCAAACCUUUCUAUCACAUUAUUUUCCACAAAUUUAUUUCUACGAAGUGUUCUUUGGCUAAUCUUAGGGGGUUGAUGUACUUGGCUUACUUGUAUUCAUAUGAUGUGACUAUUUGUAUUGGGUUGAGUUUCUCUUCCUCGAAGAUGCUUUUGUCAUUUUCCCUUCUAGAUAAACUGCAAUAAAGGACAAUUGAUUUUGGGAGCUGGCUAAGUUACAGAUUCUGUAACAUACAGAUCCAACUUCGCCAGCUCCUGAUUGGUUAGCUGGCUACCAAACAAAAACAAUUGCAUUUUUUUUUCCAUAUGCAGGACAGGUGUGGUGCAUGCAUUGGGUGUGUAUGUUACAGAAUCUCUAAGGUAGACAGGUCCUUGAUUUUGUCCAAUGUCCUUACCACCGCAUCUUGUUUUUCUUGAUCCUUUCGUGUUCGGUGAGCGGAAAGUUACUGACCUAAGAGAAAGAGCAUGAUUCCCGUGAAAAGUUCAAUGAACCCCAUGAAAAGUUCAAAUAUAUUAAGAAGUUUGGCGAAUAAAAGAAAAGAGUUUGUUCAAGUACGCUAAUAAAUUAGUGUGUUCGUUCUCUCUCUUUUUAGUUCUCUCUUUUUUUUGCUUUAUGUAAUCGUCCAAUGUCCCCGAUAUUAAAUUGUAUUUAUUCUUUUUAUAUUUGUGGAAGACAUGUUUACUCUUCAAUUAACAAUUCUAUAAAGUCGCUCUCAGCCAAAUCUUUUAUCGUAUAUGUUGUAGACAAUUUCUAAGAUUUUCUUUGGUAUCAUGGGAGAGGUAGUGAAUUAAAGUUUGUUUUGAAUUGUCCACCUCCUAAUCAAAAAAUAAUAAUAUCAUAAAAUUUCUGACAAAAAUCUUCUCCUGCUGCAUUUUUUUUUAAUGGCUUUCUUUUUUGGCUUUUUUAUUUUGUGAGAUUAUUUGUCGUUUUAUUUAUUUGGUGUGCUUGAUUAGUUUAUUCAUAAUUAUUAAAUGGGUAGUGUAUUAUCGUAAAAAUAAACAUAAAAUCUAAAUUUUUAACUAAUAUGUGAGAACUGAAAUGUGUUUAUGAUAUUGAUGCUAACAAAAAAAUAAAAAUAAAAUCUACUUUGAAUCUAACAAAAAAAAAAAGAUUUCCAACUGAUGUAAACGGAGAAACUAAACUUGAAUCCAUUCUCACAGUGUUUAAUUUUUAUCAAAAUUUGUAUGCUGAGAAUUCGGAUUCUACACCGGUCUUUCCAUUGGUAAUGUUAUCACGAAGCUAGUCCUGAAGAUAAUGAAAUGCCAACUAUUGUUCCUAAUGUGUCUGGAAAAAGGAUGGGUUUUUUUGGUUUAGAUGCCUCUAGUGCCCCAAGUCUCAAAUGGUUUUCCUGGCUUAUUUUUCCAUUGGUUUUGGGAUAUUAUUGAGAAUGAUCUUAUUUAGUAUAUUCAUUCAUUUUAAAGCAGGGCGUGAUCCUCCUGAACUUUGUGGCUUUGAUUCAGAGAUUGCACGGAGCCACUGAGGUUGGUCAAUUUCGUCCCAUUGUUGUUGUCAACUUCCUUUUCAAAAUCAUUCAUAAAAUAUUGGCCGACAGAUUAAGCCUGAUUAUGUCAAACCUGGCCUCUCCUCAGCGAGUUGCCUUUGUAAAAGGUAGACACAUUCAAUGUAGUACAUGUAUGGUUCUGGAAGAUAUUAUCCUUUUGGAUCGAAAAUCUUUUGGUAGAAAUUUGGGCCUAAAUAUUGAUACGCCAAGGCUUUAGGUACUCUCCAAUGGGAAUUUCUUCUACGGGCUCUGACUCAGUUUGGCUUUCACUCGACUUUUAUUGGUUAUCUAUCUUGAUUAAUGGAUCUGUCCAGCGGUUCUCUUCUUGUAGUAGGGGUGUCCGCCGUGGUGAUCCGCUUUCCCGUUGCAAAUGUGAUUUAUUUUAGGAAAAUUUUAAUUCCAUCCUCAAAAUCAUACAAUACAAGAACUUACAAUCAUUUUAAACCAAUCCACAUUCGAUUUGGAUCAUGUGGAUCUUGGGUCAGAUCCAAUCUAUUGCCAUCCCUAUGUUCAAUAAGGUGGAAUGAGAAAUGCGAGUCCUAACAAAAGGUUGGGAUUCAAACCUUUAAAUAAAGCCGUGUGACGAUAGGGUUGAUGUUAAAUUAUAAGUUUCUUUUCGACAUUAUCAUUUUAUUCCUUAAUUAUUUUUCUAAAUUAUUCUACAACCAACGUUUUUUAAUAAUUAUUUUUAAUAUCUAAUGUUUUAGUUUUUAUUAUUUUACGACUAAAUGAUUAAUGUUACUAAGAAAUUGCCGAUGUUAUAAGGAUAUCUUAAGAAAUUUGUUCCAGCAUUCAAGGUUCUUUAUUUUUUGGGCAAGUUUUGUACUUGGGCUUUUGGGGUGGGGGUGUAAGGAAAAUUACCAACUUGACCUUUAGUCCUAGUGUUAUUUUUGAUUAUUUAGUAAAAUUCUUUUUUUGGAGGAGAGCGAUGGAUUGUUAGUGUGGCUGAUUUGGAAUGGAGGUCAUUGUUAGGUUUCAUUUGUAUAUUUGUUGGAAUCUGGUAUAUCUUAACCAAGAUUUUUGCAUGGGCUCGUCGUGCACUUGUAGGGUUUAAGGAGGCUGACUUAUCUUAUAGUUUAGGUGCUUUGUCUGUUUUUGGUUUCAUUGCUUGUUGCUUUGUCUGGUUUAAUAAUACUGCUUAUCCUAGUGAGUUUUAUGGUCCAACUGGGCCAGAAGCUUCUCAAGCUAAAGCAUUUACUUUUCUGGUUGGAGACCAAUGUCCUGGGGCUAAUGUGGGAUCCUUGAGUCAAAACUACUAUAAUAUUUAUAUUUAAAAUAAUUAAUUGAUAAAAGUGUUAUUUCUUUGUAUAUAAUUAAUUUUAUAUUUUUUAAAUUCAGAGGUAAAUUUGUACCUACACAUUUUAGGGAAAAUAAACUUUUACCGUAACUUUUAAGGAAAAGGAUAUGUGCACUCUUAAAACUUGGAAAAAAGGGUCAUUACACCCCCAAGUCUCAAAAAAGGGGCACCAAGACCUUCUUUUGACUAUAAUAUCGUUUAUCUCUAUUAUCACGAAAAAAUGAACUCUAAUGUAUUAUAACAACAUUAAAUAAAAUAUGAUAAUAUAUACAUUUUAAAAUAUUUUCAAUAUUUACAAAUAUUUUAAUAUUUUAUAGUCUAUUAGAUAUUAUGUAAAAUAAUAAUUUUAGCAUUAUUAGUAUGUGACUUUCUUUUUAAUUGCAAAAUGUAGCGUAAUGUAAAUGUUUAUUUAAAAUCCUACAAUAAAUAGAAAUAUAUUACUAAAAUAAAUAUAAUAAUUUACAUAUUUAAAUUUAUUAAAAUAUUUUAAUAUUGUUAGUCUACUGCAUAAAUUACAUUAUUUAUAUAAUAUUCAUAUUUAUAAAAAAAAAUUAAAGUCAAUUUUUUUGGAUAAUAAAGAUAAAGUGCAUAAUGGUUAAAUGGUGGUCUUGGUAUCUCAUUUUAAAUACUUGGGGUCUUGUUGACCAUUUCCUCAAAUUUUAGAGUAUAAAUGUUUUUUUUUCUUAAUUUCUAUUAAAAAUCCUGCUUUUUUUUUAUUGAUGGUAAAAUGAAAGAAAUUAAAAUUUUAAGUUAAGAAAAGCAAUUGGCAAUAAAUUUUAGUGAUAAAGUGAUAUGUUUGGAAAGAUUUUGUGCUAAUAUAUAUAUAUAUAUAUAUAUAACCGUAAGGUAGAUUGCUCUUUUGACACAAAUACAAGGUUAUUUGAGUAGUUGAGAUUUCACACAUAUUGCGUAUAAAAUAUUCUACUUAAUUACCUUCUGGUUUCCACAAAAAAAAAUAAUAAAUAAAUAAGAAAAUAUAAUGGAAAUAUGACAUUGAAAAUCUGAAAUGAAAUCAAAUCUCUUUCCGUAGCUGAUGGCUAAAUUGGUGGUGUCUAAAACAGUCCAAUAACUAGAUCAAAUGAGCUAUAGUUUCCCCAAAGAAUUUUCUAUAUGAUCAUUAGAACUCUAACCAUUAUCAUAAAUUUGAUUAUCAUUUAGCCCUCCGAAGAUUUAGCGCUUUUAUUUUUUAUUUUUUUUGUCCUAAGGUCUAGCUCAACCAAACAUAAAAUUGUUGGUUUUGAUUAAAAAAAUGAAGACAAUAUUAUUACAAGAAAGCUUUCUAAUAUUUUCUUCUUGGUUUUGAGAACCACAAAAAAAAGAAAAAAAUAAAAAAUAAAAAAGAGAAAACUGGUUCGAAACUGUUAAAAUAUCUUGUUCUCACAAGGAGGAUUCCUUCUCCCUCGACAACAAUGCCAUAUUAUUUUUAUAUAAAAUUUUUUUUAUAAUUAAUUAAUUAAUAAGCCUAGCAAAACACUAAUAAUUGCACUUCAACUCAAUUUGUCUAAAUUUUGAAUAAAUGUGAACAUGAAUUCUUUUUAACAGCAACAUAAAAAAUCUCAAAAAAAUUAUUUUUAUGCAUUCAUCUUUCUAAGGUCCCACCCAUUAAGGACUGUCGGCUAUGGCAGCCUAAAUACUAUUUGUGAAUAUAAAGUUCAAAUAAAACAGAAAAUGUGUCAUUUAUUUUGAUUAUGUAGAUUUAAUUUCAGUACUAAUAAAGUAGAAAAUAAAUAAGUUAGAUUAUUUGAAACUAAUUUUUAAAUGUACCAAAAUUCCUCAAAUACCAAUUAUUAUUAUUAUUUUUUUACAAUAAUAUAAUUAGAAAUCUACCUAGAUUAACGUAAUGUCUUAUUUGUUUAAGCUGUUCGGCAGCUGGGCUGCCAGCUGCCAAGCAUUUGAUAAAAACUUAGAUUUGGCAUGCAGCUAUUUUUGUUGAAUUAACUAAUUAAAUUCUCAUUAAUUGUUUAAUUUGAUUAUGUAAAAGCACAUGUUUUGAACAAUUGGACCUUUUUUUAUAAGGAAAAAUAAUUAAAUUAAAAUUAUGUUCAAUAUCUCGGUCAAUUAAUAAUGAUCCAGGUAUUUAUAUGAAUAAAGGAUUAAAUAUUUCUAGAAAAAUGAAAAAACGACAACACAAAUUAGCUGUCACCGGGACCAGGUAUUGUUCGUAGCACACACGGCAUCUCAAAUAUUGUUCAAAUCUAAAAACGACCUGCAGCAAACUGAACGCUAUAAAAUACACACUCUCAUAAAACCUGACUUUUCGAUAUUCAUCGUUUCAUUUAUUCACUCACUCGCCCUUAAUUCUCAGUAAGGUUCUGUGACAAUGGCGGACGAAGUGAUUCUAUUGGAUUUCUGGGCCAGUAUGUUUGGGAUAAGGGUCAGGAUUGCUCUGGCAGAGAAAGGCGUCAAGUAUGAGUACAAAGAACAGGACUUGUUCAACAAGAGCCCGCUGCUUCUGCGGAUGAAUCCCGUCCACAAGAAGAUCCCGGUUCUUAUCCAUAAUGGCAAAUCGGUCUGUGAGUCAUCCAUCAUUGUUCAGUACAUUGAUGAAGUCUGGAAGGACAAGGCUCCAUUGCUUCCCUACGAUCCUUACCAAAGAGCUCAAGCGAGGUUCUGGGUCGAUUUUAUUGACAAGAAGGUAACUUGUUGAUUUUCUGAUAGAUGUUUAUGAGAAUUCUGUUUCUCUUUCAGAUCUAAUUGGUCUCUUAACUAAACUAAAGUAAUUAGCUUGCAAAGAAGCUGAAACUUUCAGAUUAAAAUAAUCAAUUUCAAGAUGAGAAUUCUGUUUCUCUUUCAGAUCUAAUUGAUCUCUUAACCAAGCUAAAGUAAUUAACUUAUAUAGAAGCUGAAACUUUCAGAUUAAACUAAAGUAAUUAACUUAAUGUUUAUGAGAAUUCUGUUCUGGGUUCUUUUUUUUUAUUACCAAAAAAAAAAAAAAGAUCCAUAUUGUUGAUGCAAGCUGUGGCAUAAUCACGAUUUUGAUUCGACGGGGCUAUAAUACAAAUAUCAUAAACUUGAGUAGACUAUGAUGUAAAUUCAGAAAAAAAUGUGAAGGCCAAUGAUGAGGAGCAAUGAAUUAUGAUCAAAAUGGAGAAGUCAUGAACUUGAGUUUAUCAUAAAAUAUGCAUACUACUAAGAAAACUUAAAUUCAGUCCUUUAUUUUGGCUCUGUAAGACUUGCACCCCUCGGCUGCUGAUAUUGUUGUCUUGAGAUGGAUGCUAAAAGUGCUAAAUUUUGUAUAUUACAAAUAAACUUUUUGAUACAUUAUUAAAAGUAAAUUGCAGAUGUACGAUACUUCGAGGAAGACAUGGGCCACAAAGGGAGAAGAGCAGGAGGCAGCAAAGAAGGAGUUCAUCGAAGUUCUGAAGACCUUGGAAGGGGAGCUUGGAGACAAGCCUUUUUUCGGAGGAGACAACUUUGGGUAUGUGGAUUUGUGUUUGAUCCCGUACUAUUGUUGGUUUUAUUCGUAUGAGACAUUUGGAAAGUUCAGCGUUGAGGCUGAGUGCCCC